This 505-nucleotide ribosomal RNA is filed under the name Fusarium oxysporum. RNAcentral describes it as "eukaryotic LSU rRNA". The stretch from base 137 to 290 matches the Rfam family "5.8S ribosomal RNA". Lineage: Eukaryota; Fungi; Ascomycota; Sordariomycetes; Hypocreales; Nectriaceae. The record is from RNAcentral.
UACUCCAACCCCUGUGAACAUACCACUUGUUGCCUCGGCGGAUCAGCCCGCUCCCGGUAAAACGGGACGGCCCGCCAGAGGACCCCUAAACUCUGUUUCUAUAUGUAACUUCUGAGUAAAACCAUAAAUAAAUCAAAACUUUCAACAACGGAUCUCUUGGUUCUGGCAUCGAUGAAGAACGCAGCAAAAUGCGAUAAGUAAUGUGAAUUGCAGAAUUCAGUGAAUCAUCGAAUCUUUGAACGCACAUUGCGCCCGCCAGUAUUCUGGCGGGCAUGCCUGUUCGAGCGUCAUUUCAACCCUCAAGCACAGCUUGGUGUUGGGACUCGCGUUAAUUCGCGUUCCCCAAAUUGAUUGGCGGUCACGUCGAGCUUCCAUAGCGUAGUAGUAAAACCCUCGUUACUGGUAAUCGUCGCGGCCACGCCGUUAAACCCCAACUUCUGAAUGUUGACCUCGGAUCAGGUAGGAAUACCCGCUGAACUUAAGCAUAUCAUAAGCCCCGGAGAAA